RNAcentral lists this ribosomal RNA (273 nucleotides) under Bacillus infantis. RNAcentral's name for it is "partial 16S ribosomal RNA". It matches the Rfam family "Bacterial small subunit ribosomal RNA", at positions 1269 to 1533 of the family's 1533-position model. The record is from RNAcentral. Lineage: Bacteria; Bacillati; Bacillota; Bacilli; Caryophanales; Bacillaceae.
GAAUCCCAUAAAACCAUUCUCAGUUCGGAUUGCAGGCUGCAACUCGCCUGCAUGAAGCUGGAAUCGCUAGUAAUCGCGGAUCAGCAUGCCGCGGUGAAUACGUUCCCGGGCCUUGUACACACCGCCCGUCACACCACGAGAGUUUGUAACACCCGAAGUCGGUGGGGUAACCUUUUGGAGCCAGCCGCCUAAGGUGGGACAGAUGAUUGGGGUGAAGUCGUAACAAGGUAGCCGUAUCGGAAGGUGCGGCUGGAUCACCUCCUUUCUAAGGAA